GUUCGGGUAGUUUAAUUGGAUAGAAUAUUUCCCUCCGACGGAGAUGGUAUGGGUUCGAAUCCCUUCCUGAACACCA
This 76-nucleotide transfer RNA is filed under the name Bacilli bacterium. RNAcentral describes it as "tRNA-Arg". It matches the Rfam family "tRNA". From Rfam's summary of the family: Transfer RNA (tRNA) molecules are approximately 80 nucleotides in length. Their secondary structure includes four short double-helical elements and three loops (D, anti-codon, and T loops). Lineage: Bacteria; Bacillati; Bacillota; Bacilli. The record is from RNAcentral.